RNAcentral lists this ribosomal RNA (424 nucleotides) under uncultured bacterium. RNAcentral describes it as "bacterial SSU rRNA". It matches the Rfam family "Bacterial small subunit ribosomal RNA", at positions 359 to 776 of the family's 1533-position model. The record is from RNAcentral.
GAAUUUUUCUCAAUGGGGGAAACCCUGAAGGAGCGACGCCGCGUGGAGGAUGAAGGUCUUCGGGUUGUAAACUCCUGUCAUUUGGGAACAAUGCGGACGUAUUAACUGUACGUUCGUUGAUAGUACCAGAAGAGGAAGAGACGGCUAACUCUGUGCCAGCAGCCGCGGUAAUACAGAGGUCUCAAGCGUUGUUCGGAUUCAUUGGGCGUAAAGGGUGCGUAGGUGGCGCCGUAAGUCAGGUGUGAAAUUUCGGAGCUUAACUCCGAAACUGCAUUUGAUACUGCGGUGCUUGAGGACUGGAGAGGAGACUGGAAUUUACGGUGUAGCAGUGAAAUGCGUAGAGAUCGUAAGGAAGACCAGUGGCGAAGGCGGGUCUCUGGACAGUUCCUGACACUGAGGCACGAAGGCCAGGGGAGCAAACGGG